CAGAAAAUAGUUUUAUAAUAAAAUAUUAAUUUUGGAGAUUAAUGAAAGGAAAUAACUUCUUUUUUCUGA
RNAcentral lists this transfer RNA (69 nucleotides) under Fenusa (Kaliofenusa) sp. 3 GYN-2022b. RNAcentral describes it as "tRNA-Pro". Lineage: Eukaryota; Metazoa; Arthropoda; Insecta; Hymenoptera; Tenthredinidae. The record is from RNAcentral.